UACAGAGGGUGCGAGCGUUAAUCGGAAUUACUGGGCGUAAAGCGCGCGUAGGUGGCUUUGCAAGUCGAUUGUGAAAUCCCCGGGCUCAACCUGGGAACCGCAGUCGAGACUGCAUUACUAGAGUAUGGGAGAGGGAAGUGGAAUUUCCGGUGUAGCGGUGAAAUGCGUAGAUAUCGGAAGGAACAUCAGUGGCGAAAGCGACUUCCUGGACCAAUACUGACACUCAAGUGCGAAAGCGUGGGGAGCAAACAGG
RNAcentral lists this ribosomal RNA (253 nucleotides) under uncultured bacterium. Its description in RNAcentral is "partial 16S ribosomal RNA". It matches the Rfam family "Bacterial small subunit ribosomal RNA", at positions 524 to 776 of the family's 1533-position model. The record is from RNAcentral.